This is an RNA transcript of Mastomys coucha (southern multimammate mouse), 944 nucleotides long. It is a transcript of the gene named dnaJ homolog subfamily C member 8 pseudogene, with no coding region annotated. The record is from RefSeq and is a predicted model, not a curated record. The transcript has a single exon. Lineage: Eukaryota; Metazoa; Chordata; Mammalia; Rodentia; Muridae.
AUGGCGGCUUCGGGAGAGAGUGGUGCUUCGGGCGGCAGAGGCAGCACAGAGGAGGCAUUUAUGACCUUCUACCGUGAGGUGAAACAAAUAGAGAAGAGAGAUUCAGUUCUAACAUCCAAAAAUCAGAUCGAAAGAUUGACUCAUCCUGGUUCCUCUUACUUUAAUCUGAACCCAUUUGAGGUUCUUCAGAUAGAUCCUGAAGUGACAGAUGAAGAAAUAAAAAAGCGGUUCCGUCAGUUGUCCGUCCAUCUUGGUGCAUCCUGACAAAAACCAGGGCGAUGCUGACUGAGCACAGAAGGCUUCUGAAGCUGUGCACAAAGCUUACAAGUUGCUACUACUGGAUCAGGAACAAAAGAAGAGGGCCCUGGAUGUAAUUCAGGCAGGAAAAGAAUACGUGGAACAUACUGUUAAAGAGCGGGGGAAAAAACAACUAAAGAAGGAAGGAAAGCCUACGAAUGUAGAGGAGGAUGACCCCGAGCUGUUCAAACAGGCGGUCUACAAAGAAAUGCACGAGAGGAAGCGACAGAGAGAAGAGGAGAUUGAAGCCCAGGAAAAAGCCAAGCGAGAAAGAGAGUGGCAGAAAAACUUUGAGGAAAGUCGGGAUGGUCGAGUGGACAGUUGGCGAAAUUUCCAGGCAAAUACAAAGGGGAAGAAGGAGAAGAAGAAUCGGACCUUCCUGCGGCCACCGAAAGUCAAGACUGAGCAGCGGGAGCGAGCAGCGGGGCAUCCCUGGCCAGAGCCUCCCCACUGCCUCCUCCUGCUUCUAGGACUCAUUCAUUCUUUCUCCACCUCCACCCCAACAUAGAGUAGCGAUUGCUUUUUAGUCUACUUUGUUGUCAAUACAAUUUAAUAUCAGAGUAAUUCUUUGUACAUUGAGAGGAAGGGCUUGGUCUAACCUCCCCCCUUACCCACGGAACCACCAGGAUUGGAAGGAGCUACUGACU